UACGUAGGUGGCAAGCGUUGUCCGGAUUUAUUGGGCGUAAAGCGCGCGCAGGCGGUCCUUUAAGACUGAUGUGAAAUCUUGCGGCUCAACCGCAAGCGGUCAUUGGAAACUGGGGGACUUGAGUACAGAAGAGGAAAGCGGAAUUCCACGUGUAGCGGUGAAAUGCGUAGAGAUGUGGAGGAACACCAGUGGCGAAGGCGGCUUUCUGGUCUGUAACUGACGCUGAGGCGCGAAAGCGUGGGGAGCAAACAGG
RNAcentral lists this ribosomal RNA (253 nucleotides) under uncultured bacterium. Its description in RNAcentral is "partial 16S ribosomal RNA". It matches the Rfam family "Bacterial small subunit ribosomal RNA", at positions 524 to 776 of the family's 1533-position model. The record is from RNAcentral.